This is a long non-coding RNA of Acromyrmex echinatior (Panamanian leafcutter ant), 259 nucleotides long. Lineage: Eukaryota; Metazoa; Arthropoda; Insecta; Hymenoptera; Formicidae. The record is from RefSeq and is a predicted model, not a curated record.
UCUGCGGAAGAAAGUAAUAUAUAUUAAUAUAAGAAAAAGGAAAUACUAAUAGAAGAAAAAGGAAAACAGAGAUAAACAAACUGUAGAAAAAAGCAUUGCAGUAACGGUCCGUCUGAACGACUGAAGCAAGAACGUUGCCCGAGCUCUUUCUAAGUUUCAUCCCCUCCACCACAUUUCUUCGAGAAUGCAUAUGGAAUUAUUCAACCAACACUAGCGGGGGAUCAAAAAUGCAAGCGCCGAUAUACGACAGCUAUGUUAG